UACGUAGGUGGCAAGCGUUGUCCGGAUUUAUUGGGUUUAAAGGGUGCGUAGGCGGCCUAUUAAGUCAGUGCUGAAAUACCCCGGCUUAACCGGGGGGGUGGCAUUGAUACUGAUGGGCUUGAGUACAGAUGAGGUAGGCGGAAUUGACGGUGUAGCGGUGAAAUGCAUAGAUAUCGUCAAGAACACCUAUAGCGAAGGCAGCUUACUGGGCUGUAACUGACGCUGAGGCGCGAAAGCUAGGGGAGCAAACGGG
RNAcentral lists this ribosomal RNA (253 nucleotides) under uncultured prokaryote. Its description in RNAcentral is "partial 16S ribosomal RNA". It matches the Rfam family "Bacterial small subunit ribosomal RNA", at positions 524 to 776 of the family's 1533-position model. The record is from RNAcentral.